AGAGUUUGAUCCUGGCUCAGGACGAACGCUGGCGGCGUGCUUAACACAUGCAAGUCGAACGAGAAUCUGUGGAUCGAGGAUUCGUCCAAGUGAAGCAGAGGACAGUGGCGGACGGGUGAGUAACGCGUGAGGAACCUGCCUUUCAGAGGGGGACAACAGUUGGAAACGACUGCUAAUACCGCAUGAUACAUUUGGGUGGCAUCAUCUGAAUGUCAAAGAUUUAUCGCUGAAAGAUGGCCUCGCGUCUGAUUAGCUAGUUGGUGAGGUAACGGCCCACCAAGGCGACGAUCAGUAGCCGGACUGAGAGGUUGACCGGCCACAUUGGGACUGAGAUACGGCCCAGACUCCUACGGGAGGCAGCAGUGGGGAAUAUUGGGCAAUGGGCGCAAGCCUGACCCAGCAACGCCGCGUGAAGGAAGAAGGCUUUCGGGUUGUAAACUUCUUUUAAGAGGGAAGAGCAGAAGACUGUACCUCUAGAAUAAGCCACGGCUAACUACGUGCCAGCAGCCGCGGUAAUACGUAGGUGGCAAGCGUUGUCCGGAUUUACUGGGUGUAAAGGGCGUGCAGCCGGGAAUGCAAGUCAGAUGUGAAAUCCAUGGGCUUAACCCAUGAACUGCAUUUGAAACUGUAUUUCUUGAGUACUGGAGAGGCAAUCGGAAUUCCUAGUGUAGCGGUGAAAUGCGUAGAUAUUAGGAGGAACACCAGUGGCCGAAGGCGGAUUGCUGGACAGCAACUGACGGUGAGGCGCGAAAGUGUGGGGAGCAAACAGGAUUAGAUACCCUGGUAGUCCACACUGUAAACGAUGAAUACUAGGUGUGCGGGGACUGA
RNAcentral lists this ribosomal RNA (828 nucleotides) under uncultured bacterium. RNAcentral's name for it is "bacterial SSU rRNA". It matches the Rfam family "Bacterial small subunit ribosomal RNA", at positions 8 to 834 of the family's 1533-position model. The record is from RNAcentral.